UUCUUUAUUAUUCUGAUUAUAAAGUAGUCCCAGCUACUCGGGGGGCUGAGGAGGGAGGAUCGCUUGAGCCCAGGAGUUCUGGGCUGUCGUGUGCUAUGCUGAUCGGGUGUCCGCACUAACUUCAGCAUCAAUAUGGUGAUCUCCUGGGAGCGGGGGACCACCAGGUUGCCUAAGGAGGGGUGAACUGGCCCAGGUCGUAAGUGGAGCAGGUCAAAACUCCCCUGCUGACCAGUAGUGGGGUCACACCUGUGAAUAGCCACUGCACUCCAGCCUGGGCAACAUAGCCAGACCCCGUCUCU
This 299-nucleotide signal recognition particle RNA is filed under the name Cebus imitator (Panamanian white-faced capuchin). Its description in RNAcentral is "Metazoan signal recognition particle RNA (ENSCCAG00000009455.1)". It matches the Rfam family "Metazoan signal recognition particle RNA". From Rfam's summary of the family: The signal recognition particle (SRP) is a universally conserved ribonucleoprotein. It is involved in the co-translational targeting of proteins to membranes. Lineage: Eukaryota; Metazoa; Chordata; Mammalia; Primates; Cebidae. The record is from RNAcentral.